This 85-nucleotide transfer RNA is filed under the name Petrocella atlantisensis. It matches the Rfam family "tRNA". Rfam says of the family: Transfer RNA (tRNA) molecules are approximately 80 nucleotides in length. Their secondary structure includes four short double-helical elements and three loops (D, anti-codon, and T loops). Further hydrogen bonds mediate the characteristic L-shaped molecular structure. tRNAs have two regions of fundamental functional importance: the anti-codon, which is responsible for specific mRNA codon recognition, and the 3' end, to which the tRNAs corresponding amino acid is attached (by aminoacyl-tRNA synthetases). tRNAs cope with the degeneracy of the genetic code in two manners: having more than one tRNA (with a specific anti-codon) for a particular amino acid; and 'wobble' base-pairing, i.e. permitting non-standard base-pairing at the 3rd anti-codon position. The record is from Rfam by way of RNAcentral. RNAcentral also lists the same sequence under 3 other names. Lineage: Bacteria; Bacillati; Bacillota; Clostridia; Lachnospirales; Vallitaleaceae.
GCCGGAGUGGCGGAACUGGCAGACGCACAGGACUUAAAAUCCUGCGACCUAUAAAGUCGUACCGGUUCGAUUCCGGUCUCCGGCA